RNAcentral lists this unclassified non-coding RNA (503 nucleotides) under Hevea brasiliensis (rubber tree). The record is from RNAcentral. Lineage: Eukaryota; Viridiplantae; Streptophyta; Magnoliopsida; Malpighiales; Euphorbiaceae.
ACCCUUUGGGGAAUGCACAUAAUCCUCAAUUAUGAUGGUGACUAUUUCUGUAGGAUUUGCGCUCAAAAAUGCCUCCACCUCUUUCAAAGUGUUAAUUGCCGGUUGAAAGGCAGUGAAGUUGUAACAUUGGCCACGAAAUGAGUGACAGAGCCAUAUAUCGUUCUCAAAAUCGUACAUAUCCAGCAUCAAUCCCCGCACUCCAUUUCUCAAUUGGUUUGUGACAGUGUCUUCUUGAUUAUAGAAUGUAAUUCUCUGAGGGCCUGUCAAUAAUGGUGCAUUUACCAUUGAAAAGGCAUUAUGGGUGACCAACCACGAGUAUUUGUUGAAGGGCAAUCCACUGAUAAUGGAAGUAGGUUCUAUAGCUUGUCCUCUGAUGCAAAAGGGCUGACUCUUUCCCAAUUCAGGGCAAUCACCACAGUAUAAAGAAGGCCCACAAUCCGUAGCCGAAGCACAUGAAUCAAGAAGCUGGCAAUUCCCAUUAGAACAAGCAGUUGAGCGAGUGA